GUUAUACUCGAGAUUAAGCGACUUGCUUCUCAUCAAGGGUAAAGCAAAUGCUCAGCAGAGUUGGAAGGAUCUUAAGAAUGAGAAGCUUUCUAGGUUGAGGGAUAAGCUCCAGAAUGAAAUGGAGAAAUUGCAGAAAAGGAGAGCUACAGUUGAGAGACUGUCUCGCAAUUUGAAAGAGAGAUGUGGCAUUGUUGAAUCGGCUACUGUCAUCGUAAUACAAAGAUCUUUUUCCG
Tarenaya hassleriana is the source of this 233-nucleotide long non-coding RNA. RefSeq lists it as uncharacterized. The transcript has 3 exons. Lineage: Eukaryota; Viridiplantae; Streptophyta; Magnoliopsida; Brassicales; Cleomaceae. The record is from RefSeq and is a predicted model, not a curated record.